GACGAACGCUGGCGGCGUGCUUAACACAUGCAAGUCGAACGGAAAGGCCCUGCUUGUGUGGGGUGCUCGAGUGGCGAACGUGUGAGUAACACGUUAGUAACCUGCCCUUGACUUUGGUAUAACUUCAGGAAACUGGGGCUAAUACCGGAUAGGAGCUCCUGCUGCAUGGUGGGGGUUGGAAAGUUUCGGCGGUUGGGGAUGGACUCGCGGCUUAUCAGCUUGUUGGUGGGGUAGUGGCUUACCAAGGCUUUGACGGGUAGCCGGCCUGAGAGGGUGACCGGCCACAUUGGGACUGAGAUACGGCCCAGACUCCUACGGGAGGCAGCAGUGGGGAAUAUUGCACAAUGGGCGGAAGCCUGAUGCAGCAACGCCGCGUGCGGGAUGACGGCCUUCGGGUUGUAAACCGCUUUCGCCUGUGACGAAGCGUAAGUGACGGUAAUGGGUAAAGAAGCACCGGCUAACUACGUG
This 468-nucleotide ribosomal RNA is filed under the name uncultured bacterium. RNAcentral's name for it is "partial 16S ribosomal RNA". It matches the Rfam family "Bacterial small subunit ribosomal RNA", at positions 28 to 507 of the family's 1533-position model. The record is from RNAcentral.